AGUUUGGAUAUAAAGAUCUCUACAGAAUCUGACUGUUUUUUGACACAGGAAGAUCAUUCCACAAAACCGGUGCACAAUAAGAGAAGGUUCUGUGGCCCAAAGACUUUUUAUUCAACUUAGGGACAGAAAGUAG
Molecule: long non-coding RNA, 133 nt
Organism: Thalassophryne amazonica
Lineage: Eukaryota; Metazoa; Chordata; Actinopteri; Batrachoidiformes; Batrachoididae
Exons: 3
Source: RefSeq, a predicted model, not a curated record